UAAGAACUGACUUUGGGAAAGUCAUAAAGUAUUCAGGAUUUAAGCAGCAGACAUCCAUGAGGAUGCAAGCUGAGCUCCCCUGAGUGGCCUCCUCCUCGUGCACAUGUGUGUGUCAUUGUUUGCAACCCAAUCAUCUCUGUUAUGACAGGGAUGAUCAAAGCCAGCAGGGUUGUGCUCCUUUGUGUAACCUGAAGAUAUUUUCCACAUGCCGAGCCCUGAUGGACUUCAAAGACAGACACAGCUGGGGAAAGCCAGUCUGAUGGAAGGGAAACUCUGGCCCCAAAUCCUGAAACAUCAUUUCUAAUCAGAAGAGAAACACUGAGGGUUAAAAACUGAUUUCAUUUGAUGCUGCAUUUGGAAGAUCCUGGAUUAUCAUCAGAAAGGAGACAUCCACCAGCCACUCUAGAAAUAUGCCAUGGCGUUUUACAUUUUACACUCUUUGUAAACAAGAGGGAAAGCUGCAACCUGCACUUCCCAUUACUGGAACAUCUUACAAGGCUAUUUACAUAGGAGCUGGCGUUCUGAUGUCAGAUACUGGUAUAGAGAGACAUCUAGGCGUAGGGGGCACCAGCGCCACCUUUCACAUGGCAGAAGCCUGGACAAUAUGGACAUAAGGAUUUUUGAAUCAGUCAGGGCAAGUCGUGUGUUUUCUAUUUUGAAUAUAUGGAAUAUAUUUUUGAAUCACAGGAUUUUCUACUUUAAAGAGUUACUGCUGCUGUUACUUAGUAUAAGUACUGCUGUGUUAGAAGAAAAAGAGCAGAAAAGGAGAGAGAAACUAUCACGGUUCUUAAGAUAGUUUGUUUCAGCUUAGAUUUCAUCACAACUGUUUUUCAUACUGGAAUUUAUCAACUGUAAGUUAUCACUUUCCGAUACAAACCUUUUUUAGUGCUUUUUAAAAAUUGUGAAUAAAAUUGAUACUUGUUAUUCUUAGUUAUGUAUCA
RNAcentral lists this long non-coding RNA (941 nucleotides) under Rattus norvegicus (Norway rat). Its description in RNAcentral is "long non-coding RNA NONRATT010982". Lineage: Eukaryota; Metazoa; Chordata; Mammalia; Rodentia; Muridae. The record is from RNAcentral.